Molecule: ribosomal RNA, 332 nt
Filed under: uncultured Phaselicystis sp.
Lineage: Bacteria; Pseudomonadati; Myxococcota; Polyangiales; Phaselicystidaceae
Description: bacterial SSU rRNA
Rfam family: Bacterial small subunit ribosomal RNA
Source: RNAcentral
CGUGUAGGCGGCUGCGUAAGUCGGGCGUGAAAUCCCAUGGCUCAACCAUGGAAGUGCACCCGAAACUGCGUAGCUAGAGUCCUGGAGAGGAAGGUGGAAUACUUGGUGUAGAGGUGAAAUUCGUAGAUAUCAAGUGGAACACCGGUGGCGAAGGCGGCCUUCUGGACAGUGACUGACGCUGAGACGCGAAAGCGUGGGGAGCAAACAGGAUUAGAUACCCUGGUAGUCCACGCCGUAAACGAUGAGUGCUAGGUGUCACGGGCUUUGACCCUCGUGGUGCCGAAGCUAACGCGUUAAGCACUCCGCCUGGGGAGUACGGCCGCAAGGCUAAA